UCCCUGGCACAGAGGAGCACAUCUCUCCCUGGCACUGGAGAAGAUUUAAGACAGAGAAGAAAUAAGUGGAAAAAAGGAGAAAUCAGGCAUCACCUUGGCCUGAGGGAAUCCCCAUCUCACUUCACAGGCUAGCCAGGAACCUUGCUUUCUGGGGGUCAGCAGGGUGUCAUGGGUGAGGUUGGGGGUUGGUGAGUCCCCCCCUCAGCUUCCUGACAGGCCCAAGGACCUGGUGUCAGCGGCAGCAGGAUCAGGCCAGAAGGAAGCACCCCACCCCCACAAAUCUAGUUGACCUGCCUCUGAAGGUUGGCCCAACUCAGAGCCAUCACCAGCAACAGCAGCCCCAGCAACAGCAAAGAUCAUUUAUUGAUGCUUGCUGUGUGCCCUGCCCUGGGCUCUUCGUUACCUUUUUUAAUCCUCACAAACCUCAUGAGUUUAACUAAACCCAUUUAACUGAUGAGGUAGUUGAGGCUCAGGGAAAUGAAGUGACUUUCCAAGGUCACCCAGUGUAUAAGUGGCAAAGACAGGAUUCAAACCUGAUCUGCCUGACUUCAGAGCCUGCAGAUGAUAGCAAAGCUGGGCCACCAUUACCCCUUCCCCCACCAUGCCAACUCACCCCCAAAACCAAGGCCCCUCCUGACAGCAUCUUCUGCACUCUGCAACCUCUGACCUCUUCCUUUUCAAGGUCUUCCCAGCCUCCCAGCCUACCCUUCCAGAACUGGAGAGAGCAGAGCGUCCUCAGGAAAGUUCUUCGGCUUCUGCCUCCUCACAUCCCAGGGCUGUUUAACUCCAGCGUCUCAAAAACAAGAUUCAUG
RNAcentral lists this long non-coding RNA (812 nucleotides) under Marmota monax (woodchuck). The record is from RNAcentral. Lineage: Eukaryota; Metazoa; Chordata; Mammalia; Rodentia; Sciuridae.